RNAcentral lists this long non-coding RNA (658 nucleotides) under Citrus x clementina. Its description in RNAcentral is "Citrus clementina (C. clementina) long non-coding RNA (CCLE_LNC005679)". The record is from RNAcentral. Lineage: Eukaryota; Viridiplantae; Streptophyta; Magnoliopsida; Sapindales; Rutaceae.
ACACGCUGGGGGAGAGCUUCUUCGGGCUGACUCCUUAACUGGUGAUGCUUUGUUGAAGCAACUUUGGCACCAUUCAGAUGCGAUCAUGUGCUGUUCCUUAAAAACAAAUGUAAUCCAUUUUACUAAUCACUUCAUGAUAAUUUUUCGAGAUAAAAAUAUGGGAUAUUCAAUAUUGUGCUAGAGACUGUUUAAGCAAAGCUAAACAUGAUUUGAAAAAUAUGUUGCAGGCAUCUCCUGUUUUCACCUUUGCAAAUCAGGCAGGAUUGGACAUGCUGGAAACUACCCUUGUGGCCCUUCAGGACAUCAUGCUUGACAAGAUUCUUGACGAGGCUGGAAGGAAGAUUCUCUGCUCUGAGUUUGCUAAGAUCAUGCAACAGGUAAAGUUUUCAAUAUCUGGAGCCAACACUCAGUUCUAAGCAGAUCCAAACUGAACCACCUGACACCUGAGUUAAUAGUGUGAUGAAAUUUGAGGGUAGAUCUAAAAUUAACCAUUAAACGAAUAUCAGAUAUUGUGUAAAAGAUAUUUAAUGUGCUAUUUUCUCAACUGCAGGGAUUCGCUUACUUGCCAGGAGGGAUGUGUGUGUCCAGCAUGGGCAGGGCUGUGUCCUAUGAACAAGCAGUUGCGUGGAAGGUUCUGGAUGACGACGACUCCAAUCAC